UACGAAGGGGGUUAGCGUUGCUCGGGAUCACUGGGCGUAAAGCGCACGUAGGCGGAUUGCUAAGUCAGGGGUGAAAUCCUGGAGCUCAACUCCAGAACUGCCUUUGAUACUGGCGACCUUGAGUCCGGGAGAGGUGAGUGGAACUGCGAGUGUAGAGGUGGAAUUCGUAGAUAUUCGCAAGAACACCAGUGGCGAAGGCGGCUCACUGUCCCGGUACUGACGCUGAGGUGCGAAAGCCUGCGGACCAAGCAGG
Molecule: ribosomal RNA, 253 nt
Filed under: uncultured bacterium
Lineage: Bacteria
Description: partial 16S ribosomal RNA
Rfam family: Bacterial small subunit ribosomal RNA
Source: RNAcentral